UACGUAGGGGGCAAGCGUUGUCCGGAUUUACUGGGCGUAAAGAGCGCGUAGGCGGAAGCUUAAGUGUGGCCUGAAAGCCCCCGGCUCAACCGGGGAAGGUGGCUGCAAACUGGGCUUCUUGAGGGGGAUAGAGGAAAGUGGAAUUCCGGGUGUAGCGGUGAAAUGCGUAGAGAUCCGGAGGAACACCAGUGGCGAAGGCGGCUUUCUGGGUCCGCCCUGACGCUGAGGCGCGAAAGCGUGGGGAGCGAACGGG
RNAcentral lists this ribosomal RNA (253 nucleotides) under uncultured bacterium. RNAcentral's name for it is "partial 16S ribosomal RNA". It matches the Rfam family "Bacterial small subunit ribosomal RNA", at positions 524 to 776 of the family's 1533-position model. The record is from RNAcentral. RNAcentral also lists the same sequence under 1 other name.